This 232-nucleotide ribosomal RNA is filed under the name Chloropicon laureae. RNAcentral's name for it is "partial Bacterial small subunit ribosomal RNA". It matches the Rfam family "Bacterial small subunit ribosomal RNA", at positions 46 to 306 of the family's 1533-position model. Lineage: Eukaryota; Viridiplantae; Chlorophyta; Chloropicophyceae; Chloropicales; Chloropicaceae. The record is from RNAcentral.
GCUUAACACAUGCAAGUCGAGCGCGCCCUUCGGGGUGAGCGGCGGACGGGUUAGUAACGCGUGGGAACGUGCCCUUUUCUACGGAAUAGCUUCUGGAAACGGAAGGUAAUACCGUAUACGCCCUUCGGGGGAAAGAUUUAUCGGUGAAGGAUCGGCCCGCGUUAGAUUAGUUUGUUGGUGGGGUAAUGGCCUACCAAGACUACGAUCUAUAGCUGGUCUGAGAGGAUGAUCA